Molecule: RNA transcript, 2535 nt
Organism: Helianthus annuus (common sunflower)
Lineage: Eukaryota; Viridiplantae; Streptophyta; Magnoliopsida; Asterales; Asteraceae
Gene name: protein TOPLESS-like
Exons: 10
Source: RefSeq, a predicted model, not a curated record
UCGUUUCAUUGUCAAUUAGUAACAAACAACAGUUAGGAUGGAUGUCAUCUUAUUCCCUUACCCGUUCUUGUUUAAACAACCCCAAAAUCCUCAUUCUUCUCGCAUUUGUCAUUCAGUGUUCUCUAACCCUAACCCUCACCAUCGCCGAAAGAUACCAACGAUUUGAUCUGUAAUAUAAUAUGUUUCAUUACCAAUUUCUAGGUUUUCGAUUUUUUCCUCUUUGUAUGGUUGUGGUUAACAGAAGUUAGGGUUUUUCAACAACAAUUUCAGUUCACUUCAAUACAUGUUUGUAUGGCUGUUUGUUUGUUUGAUUUUGAUUCUGUUUUUUGUUUUUCAGUUGCUACCCUAAGAGAAUAGAGUGCCUUGAUAACGAUUAUGGUUUGAUUUUUCUUUUAGCAGUUCAAUACUUCAGUACUAGGAAUAAUUGCUUUUUAUUCCCAUUUAUGAAACCCUUUUCUUUAUUUUUGCAUCAUAGAUUCCCAGUGGGUUAAAUCUGUUCACAAGCUUGAACAAGAAUCAGGGUUUUUCUUUAACAUGAAGUAUUUUGAAGAGGAAGUGCACAAGGGAAACUGGGAUGAGGUUAAGAAAUACCUUUCGGGUUUCACUAAAGUGGACGAUAAUCGCUAUUCGAUGAAGAUAUUUCUUGAGAUUAGAAAGCAAAAGUAUCCUGAAGCAUUGGAUAAGCAUGACAGGUCCAAAGCUGUAGAAAUUCUUAUAAAAGAUCUUAAAGUGUUUGCUUCAUUUAAUGAAGAUCUAUUUAAGGAGAUAACUCAGUUAUUAACUUUGGAGAAUUUUAGGGAGAAUGAACAAUUAUCCAAAUAUGGAGAUACAAAUCGGCUCGAGCUAUAAUGUUGGUUGAACUUAAGAAGUUAAUCGAAGCGAAGAAUCCUUUGUUUCGUGACAAAUUGCAGUUUCCAAACCUUAAGAAUUCAAUAUUAAGGACUCUCAGAAACCAAAGCUUUGUAAAAACUCGAGGCCAAAUCCCGAUAUCAAGACGUAUCUCAUCCAACGGUUUCCAAUAGUGUAAUUGGUCUCGAUAGUCCUUCUAUUUCAGUCUCCUACUUAUGUGGACCCCCUUAACAUCAUUGUAAUGGCAUGCCCCGCUCUUCCUCUUGGCCCUCUCGCCAUAACCGAAGCCGAGCGAGGAAUUACAGAUCUUCUUAAGCCGUGUUCGAAGUGUAUUUGAGAAGGUUGGUCUCCUAUAUAAUGAAUCGAUAGUAGUUAGUCACUGGUUUCCCUAAUGGCUGUGCUCAACCCUACAUGGACGAACUUGGAUUAGUUGGUAAUGGUCCUAAUAACUAUCAGGUUAAAAUCCAGGACCUUGAAAAGGUUUUCGAACCUUUAUUCUACAUCUGGAGAUUGAAGAGGAAAUCUAAAGAAUCAUUUGGCGACUUCACAAAUCGCGUGGCAAGACACAUAUCUGAAUAAAUAUUAGAGUGAAAUGGCAAAAUAGGGGAAUAUUGUCAACACAUAUAACAACAAAAGACAAAGGUCAAAAAGUUGAAAUGAACAGUGACACACCAGGAAGUGUUCAGCACUAACAGCAAGCAAAUAUCAAUUAUAAGGGACAAUAAGCAUUAAUGUCUUAUGAAAACCCUUGCACCAAAAAGGUUAGUACUCUCCAAACACAUGAAUCCAUACUCAUAUGCUCAAAAAAGGCUUCUCAAAAACUGAAAACCCUUUGCACCAAAAAGUAUAGUACUUUUCAACACCGGAAUUCAAACUCAUAUGCUCAAAAACAUGCUGCUCAAAAAUAGAGUAGUUGUCUUAUAUCCUCCACUCUAGAUAAUUCCGAAAAAAUUGAGGUACCACCCCUAUAUAAUCCAUGAAACCAUUUGGACAAUCACACUUAACUAUAUUCUUCAUUCUCUCUUUUUUAACAAAUGUCUAAACCGGAUACCCCAUCUGCUUCUGCAAUGUCAAAACAAGAAUUGCUCAUCGGCUGCACCAUUGCCUUCAAUGUAUGUGGUUAAUUACUAUUUUGGACCCUCUAAUUACAUUAUAAGCAUAUUUAUUAUCCAACAUGUAUCAUUUACUAAUGUAUAUGUUUGUUUGUUUUUUUGCCUUAACAACAUACCUCCAUCCGAGAUUACUUUCUUGAAGUAGUUACAUCCUUCAAGGUUAGAGUUUACCAUCAAAAUCCAUGUCCUAAGAGCAUGGAAUCGAAUGAGUUUCAAAAAUGAGAACGAAAUUUAUGCUCUUGAGAUGUUGGUGGUUGAUGAAAGGGUACUCGACGUCAAAGGACAUAUUUGAAAACUUUUCUAACAAAGUUUGGUCCCCUCCUUCAAGAAGGGUCUACUGUGAUAAUCAAAAAUCCUACUCUUGGGGACAAUCUCUCUUUGUUUAAAUACGUCGAUUAUCCUCACAAGAUAUGUAUUUAUUAUGAUUCUAAAGUCAUAAAAUGCAAUGAUUUUUUGGGUUAUGAUAAUGGGUUUUCAUUCACUCCAUUUUCUUCAAUUUUGGACAAAACAUCUCAGAAUACUCAACCCAUAGGUUAUUCAAAUUCAAAUAAAAAUUUACAUACCUUUUCUUUAA